Molecule: ribosomal RNA, 3009 nt
Filed under: Triticum aestivum (bread wheat)
Lineage: Eukaryota; Viridiplantae; Streptophyta; Magnoliopsida; Poales; Poaceae
Description: partial small subunit ribosomal RNA
Source: RNAcentral
AUGGACAUCACGGCGGGGGUCAUGGGUUCCUCCGUCCUGUCCAAGCUCGGCAAGCUGCUCAUGGAGGAGUGCAACCUGCCAUCCGGCGCCAAGGAAGACCUCAAGUAUGUUGCAGAAGAGCAGAGGCGCCUGCAAGCUUACUUCUGCAGUAUGACAGAUGCGCCGCCAGACCAGCUCGAUAAGUUUGAUCGGGGUUGGUUAUCCAAAAUCAGCGAGGCGUUCUGCAAGAGUGAGAACAUCGUCGACAUCCUGACGGCUGAGUGCUCUAAACCAGCCGCUAACCCGGGUGUCUGCAGGCGGCUCUUUACAAGGACCAGAGAUUCACUGAAUCCUCCUCAUCAAGAUCCUAAAGAUCUGAUUGCCCGUAUCAAAGAGAUAACAUUGCAUGUCCUGGACGUGUUUGCCACACAUAAACAUCUUGACGGUUGCCUACGGCCGUUGUACAAAGAUGAGAAAGACCUCGUCUGCAUCGACGGACCAAAAGAUGUGUUAAUCAAGAUGUUGACAGAGGGAGAUGACAUGUCGUCAAUGAAUCAACAGAAAAUAGUCUCCAUUGUAGGCCUUGGGGGAUUGGGCAAGACAACUCUUGCCCAUGUUGUGUACCAUCGGCUUAAACCACAGUUUGAUUGUGUGGCUUUUGUUAGGGUCCCCCUUAAACCCGACAUGGUGGGAUUGUUCACGGAGAUGCUCUAUCAACUGGAUGUGAAAAAUCAUAUAAACAUCAAUGAAGAAGCAAUGAAUAAUAGACAGCCUGUUUCUCUAAUUAGAGAAUUUCUUCUGAACAAGAGGUACCUGAUCGUAAUUGAUGAUUUAUGGAACGAAGAUGAUUGGCAUAGCAUCUCAUCUAGCUUGCCCAGUAAUGACAAGGGUAGCAGAGUAAUUACUACUACUCGUGUUAAUGGUAUAGCUAACUUGUGUUGCUCAGGCGGUAAUGAGUCAACGUAUGAAGUUCAGUGUCUUGGAUACCAAAAUUCCAGAGAGUUGUUUUUGAAGCAUUAUUUUCGCCAUGGCAGUUGGCCUGAUGCAGAUACAGACAUUUUUGAUGAUAUCAUUAGGAUGUGCAGUGGUACGCCUUCAGCAAUAAUAAGUAUUGCUUCGUUACUCGCAACCAAAGUAACCGCACAAAAGCCAUGGCAGGAGAUGAUGAAUUACUUACAUUGUUCUUCGAAGCAGAUGCCAAGUUCUUUAGGUUUUAAAUCUGAGAAUAUUCCUGGUUUUGAAGACUUGAGAGAUAUUCUGUCACUUAUCUACGCCCACCUUCCCAGCCCUCUCAAGGACUGUUUGCUCUACUUAGCAGUACAUGCUAAGAACCAAAUAAUUCAUAGGACUACUAUGGUUAGGAAAUGGAUUUCUGAAGGAUUUAUCUCUGAAAAUGCGAGGCAUAGUCGAGAGGAAGUAGCAAGCGGGUACUUUGAUGAGCUCAUCAGCAGAAGUUUCAUCCGGCUGUCAGAAUAUGAUAACUAUUCAAGGGAAGAGAUGUAUGAAGUGAAUAGUAUGGUGCUUUAUGUUCUUAGGCAAAUAUCAGACAAAGAACAUUUUGCUACCAUCUUGUCUGGCGUUGGUAUUUCAAGGGAUUAUGCUCAUUAUUUCCGUUUGUCAGUCCAGUGUUCUGGUACAGAACUUCCAGUGAUGGAUUCAUCUCGCAUUCGUUCCAUAACUAUUGCUGGACCUGCAAAGAUUUAUUUAAACCAUGAUUGGGUGUAUCUACGGGUGUUGGAUCUAGAUGGCUACAAGGAUUUGCAAAACUCUGAUGUGGAUCAUAUAUGCCGAAUGACCCUGUUGAAGUACUUGAGUCUCAAGCAUACUCCAGUCACGAUAAUCCCUCCAAAAAUCAGGGGACUACACUCUCUGGAGACUCUGGAUUUAGGGCACACUGAAAUCAGUAAUCUCCCACCAGAAAUUGGGCAACUGCAAAAUCUGAAGACUCUCGAUGCAGGCGGCAUAAAAAUCAGUUGUCUCCCGCCAGAAAUUGGAAAACUUCGAAAUCUGGAGACCCUGGAUGUAAGACAGACAAAAGUGAAAGAGCUGCCUAAGGAACUUGUUCGUCUUCCCAAACUAGCCUAUCUUUAUUUUGGAGAUUGUAAUUCUGCUCGAGGAGUAAAGUUACCUGUCGGAAGUGACCAGUUGAAGUCAGUGAAGGUGCUUGGUACUGUUGAUUCAAGAGAAUGUUCUGGAAAUGCCAUGGAGGAGAUUAGUGGACUGACAAGACUAAGGGAGAUUGAAGUAAUGUUGUAUGAUCAGCCUGCCGACAUGGUACAGAAUGAUAAGUUAAUGUCUUCCAUUGGCAAGUGCGUGAAUCUUGAAUAUCUGAUUAUUUAUGGUGACUACAGCCCAAGCGACGAACUUCCUGUAUCCCCCUAUUUUCGUUCACUUGAGAGAUUGAAAGUGGCAGGAAGAUUUAUGAAAGUUCCCCGGUGGCUUGCAGAGCUUACCAUGCUCAGGAAGCUUGAUAUCAGAGUCUGUCAGCUAGACCAAGAUGAUCUUAAAAUACUUGGAGCCCUGCCAUCCUUGAGCACUCUCGCACUUGAACUGAUUUGCAUUAUUUUGAAGAAAGAUGUAACUAUCACGAGCAAGUUGCAUCCUGAGGAAGAAACAAUUCCAGAAGAUUGUUUCCCGAAGCUCGAGGUUUUCAGUUUCGAUUGUCAUGUGCCAUGGAUCACCUUUCAGCAGGGAGCUAUGUCGACACUGAAACACUUCCACUUGAAGCUCUAUGCUUGCCCAGAUUAUAAAUUUCCUUCAGGCAUCAUCAACCUUCCUAGUCUUGAGAAGAUUAGCCUCCGGUACUCUUCAGAUCAUGCAAUCAGUGGCAGUAUCACGAAAGCAGUUGCUACCAUAAGAGAACAGGCUGCCACACAUGGUAAGCCGAUAAGGUUUUCUGUCAAUGGCGAUUCUGAGGUUGUGAGAGGAGGUUGGGGGAAUGAAUACAUUUUCCCAUCCAGAUAUUAUUUCCCAUGGAUGUGGUUAUGGGCUCCUAGAGAAACAGCAAGGUUCAGGCAAAACAAUAGUUGA